AGGAUGAUAGAACAAUGAACAACAAUCAAAUUUUUGUGAACAUAAAGACCAAUGAACUAGCUACAUAUAGAUUUAAGAAAAAAGGACCAAAAAUACCCUUCAACUAUAUUAAACAGAGUAAUUAUACCCUUCUUUUGAUUUUGGUCCAAAUAAUAUCUCACAAUUGCCGGUUCCCAGGUGGACCGUUAAACUGUUGAAAGGACAAGUAUACGAAUGCCAACUGUUCUUCAGAGAAACCCGACAGGAAAACGAACCAAAAUAUCAGAAGAAGAUCUUUCAAACCAUUGCAAAACUGGAAAACUGGCAGAUGGUAGAGCUUUUCUGAUAUUGAUGAUACUGAAAGACUCAAAGACCUGUAUGCCUGUACCGAUAAGAACAAGAAGGAAGCCAAAGAAGCGGUGAUUGCCAGUUUUUUCAAAGUGGUUGAUAUAAUCCAAGUGAAGCUAAUAAAAAUUAGAUAGAAAAGACAAUAUUACCCUUGAAGAGUGAGGCAGACAUGUCGUCCAGGUAUCUGCUAACUCUCCAUAUUAGCACACAUCUGGACGACAUGUCUGCUUGUUAGCUGCUACUAAAGGGUAUUUUGGUUAUUACUCCUAAAUUUUCCUGAUAGCUAACGCGUG
RNAcentral lists this long non-coding RNA (620 nucleotides) under Nicotiana tabacum (common tobacco). Its description in RNAcentral is "long non-coding RNA (NTAB_LNC007907)". Lineage: Eukaryota; Viridiplantae; Streptophyta; Magnoliopsida; Solanales; Solanaceae. The record is from RNAcentral.